GCGGGUGUGGCGGAACUGGCAGACGCGCCGGACUCAGGAUCCGGUGCCCGUUAGGGCGUGAGGGUUCAACUCCCUCCACCCGCA
RNAcentral lists this transfer RNA (84 nucleotides) under Hydrogenivirga caldilitoris. It matches the Rfam family "tRNA". From Rfam's summary of the family: Transfer RNA (tRNA) molecules are approximately 80 nucleotides in length. Their secondary structure includes four short double-helical elements and three loops (D, anti-codon, and T loops). Further hydrogen bonds mediate the characteristic L-shaped molecular structure. tRNAs have two regions of fundamental functional importance: the anti-codon, which is responsible for specific mRNA codon recognition, and the 3' end, to which the tRNAs corresponding amino acid is attached (by aminoacyl-tRNA synthetases). tRNAs cope with the degeneracy of the genetic code in two manners: having more than one tRNA (with a specific anti-codon) for a particular amino acid; and 'wobble' base-pairing, i.e. permitting non-standard base-pairing at the 3rd anti-codon position. The record is from Rfam by way of RNAcentral. Lineage: Bacteria; Pseudomonadati; Aquificota; Aquificia; Aquificales; Aquificaceae.